AUUGAACGCUGGCGGCAUGCCUUACACAUGCAAGUCGAACGGCAGCAUGAUCUAGCUUGCUAGAUUGAUGGCGAGUGGCGAACGGGUGAGUAAUACAUCGGAACGUGCCCUGUAGUGGGGGAUAACUAGUCGAAAGAUUAGCUAAUACCGCAUACGACCUGAGGGUGAAAGUGGGGGACCGCAAGGCCUCAUGCUAUAGGAGCGGCCGAUGUCUGAUUAGCUAGUUGGUGGGGUAAAGGCCCACCAAGGCGACGAUCAGUAGCUGGUCUGAGAGGACGAUCAGCCACACUGGGACUGAGACACGGCCCAGACUCCUACGGGAGGCAGCAGUGGGGAAUUUUGGACAAUGGGCGAAAGCCUGAUCCAGCAAUGCCGCGUGUGUGAAGAAGGCCUUCGGGUUGUAAAGCACUUUUGUCCGGAAAGAAAUGGCUCUGGUUAAUACCUGGGGUCGAUGACGGUACCGGAAGAAUAAGGACCGGCUAACUACGUGCCAGCAGCCGCGGUAAUACGUAGGGUCCAAGCGUUAAUCGGAAUUACUGGGCGUAAAGCGUGCGCAGGCGGUUGUGCAAGACCGAUGUGAAAUCCCCGAGCUUAACUUGGGAAUUGCAUUGGUGACUGCACGGCUAGAGUGUGUCAGAGGGGGGUAGAAUUCCACGUGUAGCAGUGAAAUGCGUAGAGAUGUGGAGGAAUACCGAUGGGCGAAGGCAGCCCCCUGGGAUAACACUGACGCUCAUGCACGAAAGCGUGGGGAGCAAACAGGGAUUAGAUACCCUGGUAGUCCACGCCCUAAACGAUGUCAACUAGUUGUUGGGGAUCAUUUCCUUAGUAACGUAGCUAACGCGUGAAGUUGACCGCCUGGGGAGUACGGUCGCAAGAUUAAAACUCAAAGGAAUUGACGGGGACCCGCACAAGCGGUGGAUGAUGUGGAUUAAUUCGAUGCAACGCGAAAAACCUUACCUACCCUUGACAUGCCACUAACGAAGCAGAGAUGCAUUAGGUGCUCGAAAGAGAAAGUGGACACAGGUGCUGCAUGGCUGUCGUCAGCUCGUGUCGUGAGAUGUUGGGUUAAGUCCCGCAACGAGCGCAACCCUUGUCUCUAGUUGCUACGAAAGGGCACUCUAGAGAGACUGCCGGUGACAAACCGGAGGAAGGUGGGGAUGACGUCAAGUCCUCAUGGCCCUUAUGGGUAGGGCUUCACACGUCAUACAAUGGUGCAUACAGAGGGUUGCCAAGCCGCGAGGUGGAGCUAAUCCCAGAAAAUGCAUCGUAGUCCGGAUCGUAGUCUGCAACUCGACUACGUGAAGCUGGAAUCGCUAGUAAUCGCGGAUCAGCAUGCCGCGGUGAAUAAAAGCCCGGGUCU
This 1360-nucleotide ribosomal RNA is filed under the name uncultured bacterium. RNAcentral describes it as "bacterial SSU rRNA". It matches the Rfam family "Bacterial small subunit ribosomal RNA", at positions 28 to 1381 of the family's 1533-position model. The record is from RNAcentral.